CUAAGCGGUAUAGAGUUGAUUUCUUCAUGAUUAGAAUUCGGACUAUAUGGGAUGUUUGUUUUUUUGGUAAGACCACUUUUUUUUGAAGUAGCGGCAGAAAAAUCACCAGUAGAUUGCAGGAUUUUUAAUGAAGUAGCAAGCUCUUUACACCGGGAUUCAGUGAUAGAGUAUAAUUCCUGCCAAAUAGAUACGCUUCUAUCAAUAUCCUGAAAUAUACUUUUUAUACGUUGAGGAUCCCGCUUUGCAAUGAACCAAAGUUCUUCUGUUGCAAUGCAUUCAGUCAAUGGUUUUUUCUUAGUCUUCAUUCCAUCAACCAAUGUACCAUUAGGAUCGUUGGAGCGUGCACUUAAAAGCUUUCCUCUUAUCAUUGGGCCUGAAUACAGAAAGACACGGAAAAUUAAUAGUGCAAUUUGGAAAGUGAGGCAAACGAUAAAAGCCAUCCAGAAACUGUGUAAUAAAAGUCGUAAACUCAAAGGCCACUUUGGAGGAGUCUUUGUGUAUGCUAUGCGACGACAACAGCUCGUAAGGAGAGCUGCAAAGCGCCAAAUAUAUGAACGCAAAAUCGCGUAGCUAAAAGGAGUGAAAAGGCAACAGAUAAUGGAUUUUCUAAAGGAGAAUCUUAUCAACCAACCAAGAUUUUGAAAAAUGUAAUUAAAAAAUGAGACGUUUAUGACGGGACGAGAAGGAGAGUCGCGUUGUAGGUAAAGAUGUUCAACUGUCAAGGCUAAAAUGAGUAUAUGAGAGAAAUAGGUCAUAUAAACAAAUCUUUCAUUUAAACUUGGAAGUUCGUACGCGUUUGGUGAAGCAAUCCACUGCAGCCGAAUAGAGCUAGCGUGCCCUUUGAUAUAAAAAAGGCAAAGACAGCUUACGCUGACCGCAAAGGUCAAAUAAACUAAGAAGAAAGAUUUUGGCGAAAAGUCAUAGAAUAAUUGGGCACCCAGAGAUUGCUUUGUAACUUUUUGAGUAGACAUCCGACUUUUAAGCAUUACAAAAUAGGGAAACAUAAAAAAGAAACAUACAAACCCACGAACCAAACUUAGAAACCAAAAACUCAGGGAAAUAACUAAUCCAUAUUAGUAUCUUUCAGAAGAAUCAUUCAACUUACAGGGUCCUGAAGAAAACCAGUAGGAAGUUAUGCAACAUAAACAUAAAAGGGCGAAGCAGGCACGUAGAAACCGCUGCUGUAAUAUUGGUCUUAGCAGCGUAU
Molecule: non-coding RNA, 1207 nt
Organism: Schizosaccharomyces pombe (fission yeast)
Lineage: Eukaryota; Fungi; Ascomycota; Schizosaccharomycetes; Schizosaccharomycetales; Schizosaccharomycetaceae
Source: the annotation of a GenBank genome assembly